AGAACGAACGCUGGCGGCAUGCCUAACACAUGCAAGUCGAACGAGACCGCUGACUUCGGUUGGCGCGCCUAGUGGCGCACGGGUGCGUAACGCGUGGGAAUCUGCCCUUGGGUACGGAAUAACAGUUAGAAAUGACUGCUAAUACCGUAUAAUGACUUCGGUCCAAAGAUUUAUCGCCCAGGGAUGAGCCCGCGUAGGAUUAGCUUGUUGGUGAGGUAAAGGCUCACCAAGGCGACGAUCCUUAGCUGGUCUGAGAGGAUGAUCAGCCACACUGGGACUGAGACACGGCCCAGACUCCUACGGGAGGCAGCAGUGGGAAUAUUGGACAAUGGGCGAAAGCCUGAUCCAGCAAGUGCCGCGUGAGUGAUGAAGGCCUUAGGGUUGUAAAGCUCGUUUGCCCGGAUGAUAAUGACAGUACCGGAGAAUAAGCUCCGACUAACUCCGUGCCAGCAGCCGC
This 457-nucleotide ribosomal RNA is filed under the name uncultured soil bacterium. Its description in RNAcentral is "bacterial SSU rRNA". It matches the Rfam family "Bacterial small subunit ribosomal RNA", at positions 26 to 518 of the family's 1533-position model. The record is from RNAcentral.